AGUAGUGCUGGAUAAUGCAUGGAAUAUAUUGAAGUAGUUCUUUCCAAGAAAUAAAUGAUCAGGAAUGCACAAGGAAAGAAAGAGAAACGUGAUGAAGAAGGGAAAAGAACUAAGUGAAAAUGAAAAAUAAAUUGUAUGACGUUAAAAUAACAAAAAUCUUCUAAAAGUGUUUUAUAGGAGAAAAAAGUAGUCUUCUCUACAGUAAUGUUAAAGCAUUACUUCUGUGUGAGUUGCUUGGAAGUGGCCACUAAGUAAGGAGUAAUAAUUAAUCAAGUAGAAUCUUGCAAGAUAACAUCUCACAAGGAAAGUUAACAGAACUGCUGUAGGCCUCUCUAUGACUCAUGUCAGCCAAACUUUAAAGACUUGUUGGCACAUUUACACCAUGCAUCAGCCUUCCUACUCCAAAUCUGUGGUGGUCUUCUCCACGUUUGAUUCUGUAAAACCAUCAAGCCCUUAACCCAGCUGUAUACUUCCUGUAUGUACUACUGGAUCCACUGCAGCAUCUGCACUCCCAAAGCACUCCUCAAGAAGAACUCCUGAAUAUGCUACUGAAACCUGCUAAACAGUAAAUAACAAAAGACUAAUUGAUGACCAACCAUGGCCUCUAUCAUAGUCUUCUGGAAAUUCAGUUACAUCAUCCUCAGCACUUUCCUCUGUGCCUGACUGCAGAAAAUCAGAUGCACUGAGGAGGAAAAAGAAAGACUUAUAUCCCUCUAGACUCGUGUGCCAAUAUAGGCAGUCACUUCAUAGAGCAGGAUAGCACAGGACAGGAGGAGAUCUACCAGAACAUCACAUCUCCUGUGGACAACUGUAUCACUGAAGGAUGUAGGAGUGUCCUUACCCUUACUGCCUGUGAAGAUGCAGCAGCAGAUCCAAUCCCAUGGCAAAAAACUGUAGGUCACCUCUGAGUUCUUGAUCUGUCAAUUCUGAAGCAACUAAUCAACCAAGAGAACAGCAGGCCCCAGUAUGUGCAUUCUUAAAGCAGAUGAGAGCCUUUUGCAUUGUGUAAUAGUCAAAGGAUUUGUUCUUCCUUCUACCUCCCCCUUUCUUGAUAUUCAGCCUCUCUUAUCAUGCAGGGUUUAGGGAGGAGAUGCUCAGCAUUGUCCAACACUGAAGUGGUGGAUGACUGCCAGUUGUCUUUACGCUGUCUUGCUGAGAAGUUAAACCAAAUAAUAAUACUGAUUC
Molecule: long non-coding RNA, 1185 nt
Organism: Gallus gallus (chicken)
Lineage: Eukaryota; Metazoa; Chordata; Aves; Galliformes; Phasianidae
Source: Ensembl